CUGCUUAAUUGUAGUCUGCCGAUGUAUUUUUCAAACCCCAUUUACCUAAUACUGAUCUAUACUCCAAAAACGAAAGUUUAUGGUUUUAAUCUAUAACAACUUUCAGCAGUGGAUGUCUAGGCUCGCACAUCGAUGAAGAACGCUGCGAACUGCGAUACGUAAUGCGAAUUGCAGAAUUCAGUGAGUCAUCGAAAUUUUGAACGCACAUUGCACUUUCGGGUUAUGCCUGGAAGUAUGCCUGUAUCAGUGUCCGUACAUCAAACUUGCCUUUCUUUUUCUGUGUAGUCAGGGAGAGAGAUGGCAGAAUGUGAGGUGUCUCGCUGGCUCCCUUUUCGGAGGAGAAGACGCGAGUCCCUUUAAAUGUACGUUCGCUCUUUCUUGUGUCUAAGAUGAAGUGUGAUUCUCGAAUCGCGGUGAUCUGUUUGGAUCGCUUUGCGCAUUUGGGCGACUUCGGUUAGGACAUUAAAGGAAGCAACCUCUAUUGGCGGUAUGUUAGGCUUCGGCCCGACGUUGCAGCUGACAGAGUGUGGUUUUCUGUUCUUUCCUUGAGGUGUACCUGAAUUGUGUGAGGCAAUGGUCUGGGCAAAUGGUUGCUGUGUAGUAGGGUUUUGCUGCUCUUGGACGCCCUGUUUUCGGAUAGGGUAAA
RNAcentral lists this unclassified non-coding RNA (646 nucleotides) under Pythium aphanidermatum. Its description in RNAcentral is "partial contains ITS1, 5.8S rRNA and ITS2". The stretch from base 98 to 252 matches the Rfam family "5.8S ribosomal RNA". Lineage: Eukaryota; Oomycota; Peronosporomycetes; Pythiales; Pythiaceae. The record is from RNAcentral.